RNAcentral lists this ribosomal RNA (427 nucleotides) under uncultured bacterium. RNAcentral's name for it is "partial 16S ribosomal RNA". It matches the Rfam family "Bacterial small subunit ribosomal RNA", at positions 355 to 774 of the family's 1533-position model. The record is from RNAcentral.
UGGGGAAUAUUGGACAAUGGGCGAAAGCCUGAUCCAGCCAUGCCGCGUGUGUGAAGAAGGUCUUCGGAUUGUAAAGCACUUUAAGUUGGGAGGAAGGGCAUUAACCUAAUACGUUAGUGUUUUGACGUUACCGACAGAAUAAGCACCGGCUAACUCUGUGCCAGCAGCCGCGGUAAUACAGAGGGUGCAAGCGUUAAUCGGAAUUACUGGGCGUAAAGCGCGCGUAGGUGGUUUGUUAAGUUGGAUGUGAAAUCCCCGGGCUCAACCUGGGAACUGCAUUCAAAACUGACUGACUAGAGUAUGGUAGAGGGUGGUGGAAUUUCCUGUGUAGCGGUGAAAUGCGUAGAUAUAGGAAGGAACACCAGUGGCGAAGGCGACCACCUGGACUGAUACUGACACUGAGGUGCGAAAGCAUGGGGAGCGAACA